CCUACGGGUGGCAGCAGUGGGGGAUAUUGGACAAUGGGGGGAACCCUGAUGCAGCGACGCCGCGUGGGGGAAGAAGGGCCUCGGCGCGUAAAGCCCUGUCAGCAGGGAAGAAAAUGACGGUACCUGAAGAAGAAGCCCCGGCUAAAGACGUGCCAGCAGCCGCGGUAAUACGGAGGGGGCAAGCGGUAUCCGGAUUUACUGGGUGUAAAGGGGGCGCAGGCGGCAAUGCAAGGCAGGAGGGAAAGCUCGGGGCCCAACCCCGGGAGUGCUCUUGGAACUGCGUGGCUGGAGUGCAGGAGGGGAAGGCGGAAUUCGUGGUGUAGCGGUGAAAUGCGUAGAUAUCAGGAGGAACACCGGUGGCGAAGGCGGCCUGCUGGCCUGCAACUGACGUUGAGGCCCGAAAGCGUGGGGAGCAAACAGGAUUAGAUACCCGGGUAGUC
Molecule: ribosomal RNA, 440 nt
Filed under: uncultured bacterium
Lineage: Bacteria
Description: partial 16S ribosomal RNA
Rfam family: Bacterial small subunit ribosomal RNA
Source: RNAcentral